CUUCACUACAACUUUGCAUUGAUUUUGAAUUUUUGAUGUGUAGGAUAGUUGGGAGACUUUGAAGCUGUGUCGCUAGGCAUGGUGGAGUCAUCGUUGAAAUACCAACCUUUAAACAUUUAGAAUCUAAUCCCUAACGGGAAACAGUGCAUGGUGGGUAGUUUGACUGGGGUGGUCGCCUCCUAAAAUGUAACGGAGGCUCGCAAAGGUUCCCACAGUACGGUUGGUAAUCGUACAUAGAGCGUAUUAGUAUAAGGGAGCUUGACUGUGAGACUGACAAGUCGAGCAGGGACGAAGGUCGGCUAAAGUGAUCCGGUGGUUCUGUAUGGAAGGGCCAUCGCUCAAAGGAUAAAAGGUA
This 355-nucleotide ribosomal RNA is filed under the name uncultured organism. Its description in RNAcentral is "bacterial LSU rRNA". It matches the Rfam family "Bacterial large subunit ribosomal RNA", at positions 2099 to 2465 of the family's 2925-position model. The record is from RNAcentral.